UCCCGGCGGUCCGAGUCGCAUCCACAAUUAUUGGGUCUAAAACAUUCGUAGCUUGUUUUGCAAGUCUCUUGUGAAAUCUCAAAUCUCAAAUUUGAGGCGUGCAAGAGAUACUGCUUUGCUAGAGACCGGAAGACGCAAAGAGUAUGUUUGAGGUAGUGGUAAAAUAUGUUAAUCUUGAACAGACUAACAAUGGCGAAGGCACUUUGCGAGUACGGAUCUGACAGUGAGGAAUGAAGGCUAGGGGCGCAAAAGG
Molecule: ribosomal RNA, 253 nt
Filed under: uncultured archaeon
Lineage: Archaea
Description: partial 16S ribosomal RNA
Rfam family: Archaeal small subunit ribosomal RNA
Source: RNAcentral